AGCAGCCGCGGUAAUUCCAGCUCCAAUAGCGUAUAUUAAAGUUGUUGCAGUUAAAAAGCUCGUAGUUGAAUUUCGGGAUCAAUUAAUUGGUCGUGCCUCUGGUACGCACUGGUUUUAUUGGUUUCUCCCUUCUGACGAACCACGAUGUCAUUAAUUUGGUGUCGUGGAGAAUCAGGACUGUUACUUUGAAAAAAUUAGAGUGUUUAAAGCAGGCUAACGCUUGAAUACAUUAGCAUGGAAUAAUGAAAUAGGACGUUUGAUCCUAUUUUGUUGGUUUCUAGGAUCGACGUAAUGAUUAAUAGGGAUAGUUGGGGGCAUUAGUAUUCAAUUGUCAGAGGUGAAAUUCUUGGAUUUAUUGAAGACUAACUACUGCGAAAGCAUUUGCCAAGGAUGUUUUCAUUAAUCAAGAACGAAAGUUAGGGGAUCGAAGACGAUCAGAUACCGUCGUAGUCUUAACCAUAAACUAUGCCGACUAGGGAUCGGAUGAUGUUAAUUUUUUAAUGACUCAUUCGGCGCCUUA
This 520-nucleotide unclassified non-coding RNA is filed under the name uncultured Glomus. RNAcentral's name for it is "SSU rRNA". It matches the Rfam family "Eukaryotic small subunit ribosomal RNA", at positions 569 to 1090 of the family's 1831-position model. The record is from RNAcentral. Lineage: Eukaryota; Fungi; Glomeromycota; Glomeromycetes; Glomerales; Glomeraceae.